AUGGGGGAUUUCAAUAUUCUCCGAUAUCAGCAGGAGAAAAACAAUGACAGGUUCGACACUAGAUGGCCAUUCCUUUUUAAUGCUAUUAUUGAUAGUCUCAAUUUGCGGGAACUUACCUUAUCUGGGCACCAAUAUACCUGGGCCAAUAACAGAUCUAUCCCAACUUUCGAAAAAUUAGACCGGGUGCUCGUUACCACCGACUGGGAAUUUAAGUACCCCCUAGCUUCGGUGAGAGCACUGGAGAGAAUUGAGGCUUUAUCUGAUCAUGCUCCGUUGCUAACUGAUUUCGGUCAACCUGCUCCUAGUAAUAGCCGCCAUCAGUUCAAAUUCGAAUUGGGAUGGCUCACUAGAGAGGGUUUUCAUGAGUUGGUAAAAAAAGUGUGGCAACACCAACCUUGUGGUGACACACCAAUUCAAUGA
This 420-nucleotide ribosomal RNA is filed under the name Triticum aestivum (bread wheat). RNAcentral's name for it is "partial small subunit ribosomal RNA". The record is from RNAcentral. Lineage: Eukaryota; Viridiplantae; Streptophyta; Magnoliopsida; Poales; Poaceae.